Molecule: long non-coding RNA, 987 nt
Filed under: Homo sapiens (human)
Lineage: Eukaryota; Metazoa; Chordata; Mammalia; Primates; Hominidae
Description: long non-coding RNA NONHSAT176623.1
Source: RNAcentral
GGCAAAAUGGCGGAUGUAUGAACUUCCUCUGGGGGCAUUCAACCAGUAAAGGAAAACCGCCCCUAGAGAGCAUGCGCACAACCUCAGUCAACUCACUACACAUGCAAUUACCCUCCUGAGUGCUGACCAACACUGCUGCAUGGGGCUGUUGAGCAACAGCCCGCCCCAAGGGAAGAACCGAGGGAGGAGAAGAGAAAACUCCAGAGCCGUGCCAACGGAUAAACCCCACGCCCAGGGCUGAGCGGUCACUUGGAUCUCUCACGUGGCGCACUCAGCCCUCUUCCAGAUUCUUUCCACUGAGGAGGCAAGGAUGGAGUUGCUGCUGACCCGUGCAGAUUUGCUGCUGGUAACAUACUCAUGGGCAAAGUCUGAAAAACCUCUUCCUGCCCUGGGCAAGGCAGAUGGGGCAGCCCAGCAGGCUGGCUUUGCCCACCGUCUCCGAUAUCAUCCAACACAGUCAGCCAGGUUGUGUGGCCCUCUCAUCUACAUUCUCAUUUGCCAACAAGAUGGUGUGGGCUAUGCUGUCUUUGCACAGCGAUCUGAUCCCAGGGACAUUUGUGUGGGUGUGUGCCCGGGAGCUGCAUGUCUGCAGGUUCAGAUUGGGGUCAGCUUUGCUGGUGAGUGUGGCUUCCUGCCAUGGCACCAAAGAAGAGGGCUGGCGGAUUAGUCCUGUUGUCUCUCAUAGCUUUGUAGGGACACAGCGGGCCAUGUGGACUGACAGCUGGAGACUUCAUAAAGAUGGCCUAGAAAAUUAGGACACUGUCCUGUUGGCCACAUUCGCUGCAUCCUUUCCAGCAAGAUGUCAUUCUGAGAUUUUUGUCAUUCCUGGGCGUUAUGAGGACUGCCAAGGGACACAAUUCCAUGGGAGGAAAGUUUUCUUCUAAGCUGCAAGCCAGCUCUGGCUUCUGGAGUUUCUCCUUAGGAUUGCAAGACAGUAGUUCCCUGUCCUUUAGGUCUUCUCCAGAAAUACCUUAAAAUAGCAAAUAA